GCCGAGGGCAGGCACCUAUCUGAUGGAAGAGUCCUCGAUCCCUGUACCUUGGCGUGUUACAUUGUCUCAGACUCCCAGAGCUCUUGGCACAGCUAAAACUCUUCAGAGAAACUUGCGGGAACCAGCCAAGGUCGCUGAGUCAUUUUGAGUCAUUCUCUCAGGCAACUUGGAGGGUACUUUGCUCAUCAUAAUACCAAAUUCUCUGCUGGAAAGUGCUUCUGUCUUUCCUUUUCGAACAUGUGAUCUAUGGCCCUAAAUUGAUGUCUGAAGCGACCGCCUUAAGCUGAGCAUGCCCGCGCCCCAUGUGAUUUCCUGUGUCGUAAAAGGCCGCCGCUCGCUCUGUUGCAGGAGAGCUCUGCUUUGCCAACUGCUCUAGCGUCCUCCUCCCUUGCUGCGAGUAAUGAAUCUCUCUGCACUCUUAUCUCCUG
Molecule: long non-coding RNA, 428 nt
Filed under: Chinchilla lanigera (long-tailed chinchilla)
Lineage: Eukaryota; Metazoa; Chordata; Mammalia; Rodentia; Chinchillidae
Description: lncRNA (ENSCLAG00000024035.1)
Source: RNAcentral